GUGGGGAAUUUUGGACAAUGGGCGCAAGCCUGAUCCAGCAAUGCCGCGUGCAGGAUGAAGGCCUUCGGGUUGUAAACUGCUUUUGUACGGAACGAAAAGCCCUGGGUUAAUACCCUGGGGUCAUGACGGUACCGUAAGAAUAAGCACCGGCUAACUACGUGCCAGCAGCCGCGGUAAUACGUAGGGUGCGAGAGUUAAUCGGAAUUACUGGGCGUAAAGCGUGCGCAGGCGGUUUUGUAAGACAGAGGUGAAAUCCCCGGGCUCAACCUGGGAACUGCCUUUGUGACUGCAAGGCUAGAGUACGGCAGAGGGGGAUGGAAUUCCGCGUGUAGCAGUGAAAUGCGUAGAUAUGCGGAGGAACACCGAUGGCGAAGGCAAUCCCCUGGGCCUGUACUGACGCUCAUGCACGAAAGCGUGGGGAGCAAACAGGAUUAGAUACCCUGGUAGUCC
RNAcentral lists this ribosomal RNA (450 nucleotides) under uncultured bacterium. RNAcentral's name for it is "bacterial SSU rRNA". It matches the Rfam family "Bacterial small subunit ribosomal RNA", at positions 354 to 796 of the family's 1533-position model. The record is from RNAcentral.